GACCCCGUAGCUCAGCGGUAGAGCGUGAGAUUCCAGUAAUAGUGUGUUCUGGAUUCCUCAAGGUCAUCCGUUCAAUCCGGGUCGGGGUCA
Molecule: non-coding RNA, 90 nt
Organism: Collybiopsis luxurians FD-317 M1
Lineage: Eukaryota; Fungi; Basidiomycota; Agaricomycetes; Agaricales; Omphalotaceae
Source: the annotation of a GenBank genome assembly